UGUAGUCAUAUGCUUGUCUCAAAGAUCAAGCCAUGCAUGUCUAAGUAUAAACAACUUUGUACUGUGAAACUGCGAAUGGCUCAUUAAAUCAGUUAUAGUUUAUUUGAUGGUACUUACUACAUGGAUAACCGUGGUAAUUCUAGAGCUAAUACAUGCGCAAAAGACCCGACUGUUUGGGAGGGUUGUAUUUAUUAGAUAAAAAACCAAUCAGCUUCGGCUGUGAGCGGUGAUUCAUAAUAACUUUGCGAAUCGCAUGGCCUUGUGCCGGCGAUGAAUCAUUCAAAUUUCUGCCCUAUCAACUUUCGAUGGUAAGGUAUUGGCUUACCAUGGUUGCAACGGGUAACGGGGAAUGACGAAA
This 358-nucleotide ribosomal RNA is filed under the name uncultured fungus. RNAcentral describes it as "bacterial SSU rRNA". It matches the Rfam family "Eukaryotic small subunit ribosomal RNA", at positions 21 to 375 of the family's 1831-position model. Lineage: Eukaryota; Fungi. The record is from RNAcentral.